Molecule: long non-coding RNA, 493 nt
Filed under: Solanum tuberosum (potato)
Lineage: Eukaryota; Viridiplantae; Streptophyta; Magnoliopsida; Solanales; Solanaceae
Description: long non-coding RNA (STUB_LNC011317)
Source: RNAcentral
CUCAUUGUGCUCAAAAAUGUGUAUUUCUUGGUUUCUUAAGGGUACAUAAGCGAUACUGAUGCUACUCACCUAACCUCCAGUGGUACCUUAUGUUCGCCAAAGCUACUUUCUUUAACGAUUACCCUACUUUACAUCCUCCUCUGCUGAACAUCUAGGCAUUUAUGAGGUUUUACAAAUUCUAUUUUUUGGGGAUUCCGCCAUUGUCUUUCCUUCCACAGCUCCACCUCCACCACUUUUGACUUAUCAUCGUCGACUACACCCUUCAUCUUGCCUAGACAAUUCACACCCAACACCAAAUUCUUUGCUUGAUGCAGACUUGUCUUCACAAAGUUCUUCCAUUACCCCUUGGAAAGGUAUUUGUUCUACAUGUAACCCUAAUCAUAUCUAUAUUUAUCUGAGUUAUCAUUGUUUAUCACUAGCUCAUUAUGUCUUUAUAUCAUCUAUUUCUAUUCCACAGACUACAGGUGAAGUCUUUCUCACAUAGGCUGGCGAC